GAUGAACGCUGGCGGCGUGCCUAAUACAUGCAAGUCGAGCGAACAGACGAUGAGCUUGCUCCUCUGACGUUAGCGGCGGACGGGUGAGUAACACGUGUAUAACCUACCUAUAAGACUGGGAUCACUUCGGGACACCGGAUCUAAUACCGGAUAAUAUCUUGCACCGCAUGGUUCGAUGGUGAAAUACGGUUUUGCUGUCACUUCUCGCUGGUUCCGGGCCGCCUGAGCUAGUUGGUAAGGUAACGGCUUACGAAGGCGACGAUGCGUAGCCGACCUGAGAGGGUGAUCGGCCACACUGGAACGGAGACACGGUCCAGAGGCCUACGAGAGGCAGCAGUAGGGAACCUUCCGCAAUGGGCGAAAGCCUGACGGAGCAACGGCGCGUGAGUGAUGAAGGUCUUGGGAUCGUAAAACUCGGUUAUUAGGGAAGAACCAAUGUGUAGGUAACUAAGCACGGCUUGACGGUACCUAAUCAGAAAGCCACGGCUAACUACGUG
Molecule: ribosomal RNA, 497 nt
Filed under: uncultured bacterium
Lineage: Bacteria
Description: partial 16S ribosomal RNA
Rfam family: Bacterial small subunit ribosomal RNA
Source: RNAcentral